RNAcentral lists this small RNA (3994 nucleotides) under Pan troglodytes (chimpanzee). Its description in RNAcentral is "processed transcript". Lineage: Eukaryota; Metazoa; Chordata; Mammalia; Primates; Hominidae. The record is from RNAcentral.
GAAGGACGGGGGAGGACCUCUGCUUCCGGCGCCGUAACUGCUGCCAUCUUCUCCGCGCUAUGGCUGCGUUCAGCCGUCAGCAGCCUCGUCUUACAGCGUGACUGCAAAGAAAAAGACUUUUGUUUUGCAAAAGAAAAGCAGCUUGGUGACUCCGUCCACAUCGCCACAGUUGAGUCAGAUGGCAGUGGCAGUCCUUUGCCAGUGGAAGGAGUUCCUGCUUAGGGGAGGUGCAGGAGAACUAAUUUAUUAUUGUGCAACUGCCAGUCCUGCGCAUUCCAGCUACGCUAAGUGCCCUGCCCAGGCAUGUAACAAAACAUAGACCUGUUUUGAAGUGGCUUGUUACCCAAGGGUGCCUCACUCUCAUCUGCACCACCAGGAAGGUGAACUGUGAGGGCUCCUAUAAGGGGCAGGAGGAGCAAAGCUGUCUUAGGCCAACCAGAGAUUCAUCUUUCAUGCAGUGACAUGUUGAUAAAAAAUGAUGGAAGUACCACCAAGAACAGGGAAGGACAAGCCAGAGGCUGGAGGAAGAUACUUGCAGAACACAGACCUGACAAAGGAUCAGUAUCAAAACAUAUAAGAAUUUUGACAAAUUAAUAAAAAGAGUACAAAUAACCCAACAUAAAGUCAAAAGGUGUGAUCAGGCAUUUCACAGAAGCAAACACCUUUGGUGGAUGCCCAUGAGGAGAGGCUCAGUCACAUCAGUGCCCAGGAGAUGCAAACCCAGAUCCCAGGGGUGUGCAUCCCACCCGUUCUGCCUGCAGGAUCUGCAAACCCGGCAAAACCUAGUUCUAGAGAGACUGGAUUCACUGCAUGUCUUCAUCACUGCUGGAGGGAGUGCAGACUGCUAUCGCCUCUUAGAAAAUGACUUAGUUCUCAUGUAAUUUGGGCAUUCACACAUCCUCAUCCUAGAUCCAGCUUUUCCACUCCCGCACACGUACUGGAAAACGUGUACAGGAACAUCCACUGCAGCACUGCUCAUACCAAACACAACCUACAUGUUCUCUGCACAGAGAGGGGAGAAGAGCCGGUCAGUUCACUCAGUGGACUCUGUGCUCAAUAGUGGGUGUGAAUAAGCCGCAGCCGCCCAGACCGCAUGGGCCAACCUCAGUCCGAGAAUGCGGAGUGAAAACACAGGUCUAGCGAUCACACAUGGCAAGAUAAUUAUCUUGCAAAGAAAACUCACGUAUUGUUCUGCCAUACAUAUAUGCACCAUAAAAUCACUCCCCCCACCUUCCACUCUGAAAACACAAAGGAAUUCUAGGCACAAAGUUCACGAUCAUGGUUAGCUGAGGGGAGAGAACAGGGAGUAUGAUGGCAAGAUAGAAGGUAUCGUUCACAUCCAAGUUUAUAGGUUGGGUUCUUGAUUUAGUCAUUAUUCAAAGGCUAAUAACUAAAUAAAAGGUAGCUAGCGUGAGAGUGCAACAUGAACCAAAGAUCAUGACUGGCUUUGCGCAUCGAGGGGCCAUUAAAGAGUCUACUUUUCAUGUUAUCACUUAAAAUCAUUUUGCACCCACCAGGGCAUGAGCAUCUCGUGCUGGCAAACACCACAUGACCGUGGUGACCUCAGGGCCAGCCCGGGGGUCAUCUUGAAUCUCUCCUGCUGAAGAGACCCAGGAGGGUAACACACGCCCCUCCAAUCUCUGAGUUCUAGGAAACGAACACCUGGUAUUUAAAGGGGCUGACAUAAUGCAAAUCAUCUGAUGAAAUGUUUGUUUUAGUUCACUUAAAGAUCAACACGAGAGUCUUCACUCUGAAUGGGCCACACCUGAAUUAAGAGAAUCCUUCACUCUCUGCGUCGGAUGCACAAACCAGUCCUCCUGGUGCUCACAGGGGCUAGCAGCAAGUCCAGACCUUGUAUGGUGAGGGCGGGGGGGGAAGGUGAACUUAGGGUUCAGCGAAACCGCCACUUGCAAACACACCCCACCGCAGGUGCCCUUGAUGUGUACACAUGUCCUUGAGAAGCUGGGGGCAAGGCCUUGCGGGUGAGACCACGCUCAGCAGCUCACACCUUUACCAAGUACUAGGACUUCUUUGGGGUUGGGUUGAGGGGUGAUCCCAAUCUGAGUCUGUGGUAUGACUCAGGGGAGAACAGGUCACCGGGUGCUAGGAGAGCUGUCCAUAGAGGACACAGCCCCAAAGGAUUAGAACCAGGAGAAAGGUAGAGUCUGACUCAGGGUGAGGAACACACAUGUAUUGGUGCUGCCCGAAGGGGAACUGCCUCGUGAGCGUCUGGGAACUCUUACUGCAGGUGCUCAGCAGAUGCUUGGUGCCCUGCAGGGACGUGCUGGCCUCGAUUCUCACGAGGCAGAGCCCUAGACUAGGAGACAGUUCAGGUCCUGCAUAACCUGAGUGUCCACAGGGCCCAGCUAGUCCUCAAGCUGGGGCUCGCCCAGUGGCUGCUCCCUCUGCUUCUCCCAUCCUGACUCCACCUGCUCCUCUUCGGAGAAGUGAGGGGUGAGGGGCCCAGAGGCAGGGGCUGGGGUGGGCUCUGCUGCAUAUGGAGGCGAAGGAGGGGAGGGGAGGGGAGGCAGCAUCAAAGCCAGUCUCUCUAGCUCAGACUCUGGGUGGUUUGGGUGGGUCCUGCCCCCUGGCCUGUUCCCGUCUGUGGGGUCCCACUGCUUGGGUGGUGUAGCUUCACCCCAUCUUCCCACACCGGGGUGCCUGGCGCUCGGCCUCCCCUCAGGUAGGCUCUGUGCCUCCUGAUUCCUCACCGUGGGUGGUCCCUCCUGCCUGCAGCCUCUAAGGCCCCUGAGAGCAGUCAGUCAGUCCCAAAGUCCCCACCAGCGCUGCUGACUUACUUCCGAUGUCCUUGUUGCCGUGUUCAGGGAGCUGGAGGGCCAGGCUGACCUGCUUGGGGGCUUCCUCCAUGUUCUCGAGCUGCGCCGAGGCUGUGGGUUCUAGGAGAAGCCAGGCGGUGACCACACGGCGCAGCUGCUUUGCACCUGGGAUGGUCCUGGGGCCACCCUUUUGAGUGCUUCUAUAUCUCAGGGAGCAUGGAUGUCCCUGGUGGGGACCAGGCUCCCUGCGUGGCCCCAGCACCUGUCGGCCCCAGAGCUGCCUCCCCUGAAGGGCUGGCCUCACCCUCCUGCAGACCCUCUGGAGGGGCUCGGCCUUCCCCUUGCAGGGCCCCCUCAGAGCUGCUUCAGGGACAGCCACCACUGAUCAUGCUGAGAGGCCCCAUCCUCACGGCUGAUGCGGUUGCUUCCUUCUUAGGGUCAAAUUCUGCAUUCCUCUCCUUCCACCCCUGCUUCUUGGAGGCUGUGGCACCCCCUGCUCUCUCUGAGCUGCCCUCAGUCUGUACUGACCUUCCUCACGCCCUCGCCCCCAACUGCAUCACUUCUUAUGCAGGGAUCUCAACCACACCCUCGGGCACUUCAUAUCCGCUUCCAUAGCUGCAAGUACAACGGGCCCCCCUCUGUACUCCAGAUCUCACCUGCUCACCACUGGGCAUCCCGGGCAGCUGCCUGCCCUCUCCUCAGACACCUUGCUGGGGGCUCUCUCCCCUGCUCACCGUGCGGCAGGGACCCCAGGGCUCUGGUCCCUCCUUGCCACUCUCCUUGCUGCAUUUCCCUCCCUCCUCUGCCUGAGGAGUUUUUGCUCAGAACGUGUUUGUUAAACUGGUGACUAGGCUCUGCUGGGGAGUUCCAUGAGGAUGAGCACCUGGCAUUCCAGGUGAGAGGCAAGGGCCAGAGAGGUCCCCUCUGGGGCAGGGUCGCGCCUGCCUCACUCCUGCCAACAUGUCUCAGGGCUUCUGUGUCAGAAUCACAGGCAGAUUCCCAGAGCGGCACUCACCCAGUAAACCCGGUGGGAAGGGGCCAAGGCACCUGGGCCCAUCAGCCUUGCUGCCACCGGGAAGAUCUUGCCAGGACAGUGGCGGAGGAUUUGCUGGACCACACUCAGAGUGGCGGGUUAGACCCUCAUGGCCUCCUGCCCAUGGCUUACUAAAACAAAGCUCAGAGCCCUACUUUGGCAAAUAAAGCUGCUGUAAUGUCUC